RNAcentral lists this ribosomal RNA (207 nucleotides) under uncultured bacterium. RNAcentral's name for it is "partial 16S ribosomal RNA". It matches the Rfam family "Bacterial small subunit ribosomal RNA", at positions 570 to 774 of the family's 1533-position model. The record is from RNAcentral.
CGCAGGUGGGUUAGCAAGUCAGAGGUGAAAUCCUACAGCUUAACUGUAGAACUGCCUUUGAUACUGCUAAUCUUGAGUAAGGAAGAGAGAGAUGGAAUUCCAGGUGUAGUGGUGAAAUACGUAGAUAUCUGGAAGAACACCAGUGGCGAAGGCGGUCUCUUGGUCCUAUACUGACACUGAGGCGCGAAAGCGGUGGGGGAGCGAACA